This 496-nucleotide ribosomal RNA is filed under the name uncultured bacterium. RNAcentral describes it as "partial 16S ribosomal RNA". It matches the Rfam family "Bacterial small subunit ribosomal RNA", at positions 29 to 507 of the family's 1533-position model. The record is from RNAcentral.
AUGAACGCUGGCGGCGUGCCUAAUACAUGCAAGUCGAGCGAACAGACGAGGAGCUUGCUCCUCUGACGUUAGCGGCGGACGGGGGAGUAACACGUGGAUAACCUACCUAUAAGACUGGGAUAACUUCGGGAAACCGGAGCUAAUACCGGAUAAUAUAUUGAACCGCAUGGUUCAAUAGUGAAAGACGGUUUUGCUGUCACUUAUAGAUGGAUCCGCGCCGCAUUAGCUAGUUGGUAAGGUAACGGCUUACCAAGGCGACGAUGCGUAGCCGACCUGAGAGGGUGAUCGGCCACACUGGAACUGAGACACGGUCCAGACUCCUACGGGAGGCAGCAGUAGGGAAUCUUCCGCAAAGGGCGAAAGCCUGACGGAGCAACGCCGCGUGAGUGAUGAAGGUCUUCGGAUCGUAAAACUCUGUUAUUAGGGAAGAACAAAUGUGUAAGUAACUAUGCACGUCUUGACGGUACCUAAUCAGAAAGCCACGGCUAACUACGUG